RNAcentral lists this ribosomal RNA (484 nucleotides) under uncultured bacterium. RNAcentral's name for it is "partial 16S ribosomal RNA". It matches the Rfam family "Bacterial small subunit ribosomal RNA", at positions 29 to 507 of the family's 1533-position model. The record is from RNAcentral.
AGUGAACGCUGGCGGUAGGCCUAACACAUGCAAGUCGAACGGCAGCACAGUACUAGCUUGCUCUUACGGGUGGCGAGGGGCGGACGAGUCCUAAAUACCUCGCUGUCUACUUUUUCUUGGGUGAUAACAUAGGCGCUCUUACCCUAUUAGUGCAUACGACCUACGUGUGAAAGCAUCGGAUCUUCGGCUCUUACACGAUCCGAUGUCGGAUUAGCUAGUUGGUGGGGUAAAGGCCUACCAAGGCGACGAUCCGUAACUGGUCUGAGAGGAUGAUCAGUCACACUGGAACUGAGACACGGUCCAGACUCCUACGGGAGGCAGCAGUGGGGAAUAUUGGACAAUGGGCGAAAGCCUGAUCCAGCCAUGCCGCGUGUGUGAAGAAGGUCUUCGGAUUGUAAAGCACUUUUAGUGGGAAAGAAAAGCAGUAAGUUAAUACCUUGCUGUUUUGACGGUACCAAAAGAAUAAGCACCGGCUAACUUCGUG